ACGGAGGCAGCAGUGGGGAAUAUUGGACAAUGGGCGCAAGCCUGAUCCAGCCACGCCGCGUGAGUGAUGAAGGCCUUCGGGUCGUAAAGCUCUGUGGGGAGGGACGAACGACCGGGUGAAGAGCCCGGGUUGACGGUACCUCCUUAGCAAGCACCGGCUAACUUCGUGCCAGCAGCCGCGGUAAUACGAAGGGUGCAAACGUUGCUCGGAAUCAUUGGGCGUAAAGCGCACGUAGGCGGCUUCGCAAGUCGGAUGUGAAAUCCCUCGGCUCAACCGAGGACGUGCAUACGAAACUGCGAGGCUUGAGUACUGAAGAGGAUCGCGGAAUUCCCGGUGUAGAGGUGAAAUUCGUAGAUAUCGGGAGGAACACCAGUGGCGAAGGCGGCGAUCUGGGCAGAUACUGACGCUGAGGUGCGAAAGCGUGGGGAGCAAACAGGAUUAGAUACCCCUGUAGUCC
Molecule: ribosomal RNA, 457 nt
Filed under: uncultured bacterium
Lineage: Bacteria
Description: bacterial SSU rRNA
Rfam family: Bacterial small subunit ribosomal RNA
Source: RNAcentral